This 815-nucleotide long non-coding RNA is filed under the name Phoenix dactylifera (date palm). RNAcentral describes it as "long non-coding RNA (PDAC_LNC016168)". The record is from RNAcentral. Lineage: Eukaryota; Viridiplantae; Streptophyta; Magnoliopsida; Arecales; Arecaceae.
UGCCAUGCAACUUAACCAUAAAUGAGAACUAUUUAAGCAUAUUAUCAUACCCAUGUAGCAAUCUUUUGACAAGUAUAAAUAAGGUUCAAAAACCCAAUUCAGAUUUGGUUGUGCCUAUAAAGUUUUGAUACUUUCAGCAUGUUCAACUAGAGCUUUAAGGUUUUAGCUAGGGGUGGCAAUUUACUCCCGACCCGACCCAACUCUAAUGGGGCAGGUUUUACCCGACCUACAACAGAUCCAGGACGAGUACGGAUAAUGGUAAAACCCACCUUGAACCCGCCCCAGAUUUAUAUAACUCUUCACAAAUCCCCUCUUCGAGGCAAAAAAAAAAAAUAGAUUUGCAUGCAAAAGAGCAAAGAUUUUUGUAGCUUUACCCUACCUAAUUCAUCCAACCUGCCUAUCUAACUCUACUCGCCCCGAUACUCUAUUUACCCCACCCCAAGACUCUACCUACCCUGCGCCAUCCCAAGAUAAAUAUGGAGCAAAUAUGGAUAAUGGCCUACCCAAUGUUAGGCGAACCAUCCUGAACUGUCCAGUUCGGAGUGUACUGAAUCGAACAAACGAAAAACCGAAACAAGUCGCUCUAUCGAUUCAGAAAUGUUGGAUUAAGUAUUUGGAAAAAAGUCCACCAUUCAAAUAAGACCCAUUGAUUAAAACAAAUUGUUUAAAAUGCCUCUACUCCCUCGAUCUCGAUCAUUCGAGAAACCCACAGAUCGCCUCUCACCCCUGCUCCCCCCGGGCUCCAUUGUGAUUCAAUAGAAGCCCCCCAACCUCGGCUCUCAGAGUGCCUCCCCAUCCCAACUCUCGCGCUCAAA